UGAGGAAUAUUGGGCAAUGCCCGCAAGGGUGGCCCAGCAACGCCGCGUGGAGGAUGAAUGUCGUAAGAUUGUAAACUCCUGUUAGAGGGGAAGAAUAGUACCGGUUGGACCGGUAUAUGACUGUACCCUCAGAGAAAGCCCCGGCUAACUACGUGCCAGCAGCCGCGGUAAUACGUAGGGGGCAAGCGUUGACCGGAUUUACUGGGUGUAAAGGGCGCGCAGGCGGGAUAAAAAGUCAGUGGUGAAAUCCUACAGCUUAACUGUAGAACUGCCUUUGAUACUUUUAUUCUUGAGUUCGGGAGAGAGAGACGGAAUUCCAGGUGUAGUGGUGAAAUACGUAGAUAUCUGGAAGAACACCAGUUGCGAAGGCGGUCUCUUGGUCCGACACUGACGCUGAGGCGCGAAAGCGUGGGGAGCAAACA
RNAcentral lists this ribosomal RNA (422 nucleotides) under uncultured bacterium. RNAcentral's name for it is "bacterial SSU rRNA". It matches the Rfam family "Bacterial small subunit ribosomal RNA", at positions 355 to 774 of the family's 1533-position model. The record is from RNAcentral.